UGGUAGUGUAUUGGACAACCAUGGCAGUCACGGGUAACGGAGAAUUAGGGUUCGAUUCCGGAGAGGGAGCCUGAGAAACGGCUACCACAUCUACGGAAGGCAGCAGGCGCGCAAAUUGCCCAAUCCUGACACGGGGAGGCAGUGACAAGAAAUAACAACUCUAGGUUUUCUUAGAAGUGUAAUGAGGGUAACUCACAAACCUUAACGAAUGCAAUUGGAGGGCAAGUCUGGUGCCAGCAGCCGCGGUAAUUCCAGCUCCAAUAGCGUAUAUUAAAGUUGUUGCAGUUAAAAAGCUCGUAGUUGAAAUUCUGGACGUCCGGGUCUCCAGUCUUUAGGCGGGGAUACCGGCGUUCAUCCGCUUGCAAGCAUGCGUUCGCCCUUCAUCAGGCGGCUAUGUGAGUAAGCAUUUUACCUUGAGAAAAACAGAGUGUUCCAGGCAGGUUUGUCCGGGAUGCAUUAGCAUGGAAUAAUAGAACAUGACUGAAGUCAAGUUAUUGGUUGUAGACUUUAGUAAUGAUUAAUAGGAACAGUCGGGGGCAUUCGUACUCAGCAGUCAGAGGUGAAAUUCUAAGAUUUGCUGAAGACGAACUAAUGCGAAAGCAUUUGCCAAGGAUGUUUUCAUUAAUCAAGAACGAAAGUUAAGGGAUCAAAGACGAUCAGAA
This 662-nucleotide ribosomal RNA is filed under the name uncultured Peritrichia. Its description in RNAcentral is "SSU rRNA". It matches the Rfam family "Eukaryotic small subunit ribosomal RNA", at positions 326 to 1013 of the family's 1831-position model. Lineage: Eukaryota; Ciliophora; Oligohymenophorea. The record is from RNAcentral.